GGAGAGGUGACCGAGUGGUUGAAGGUGCCAACCUGGAACGUUGGUUUAGUGGUGACGCUAACGAGGGUUCGAAUCCCUCUCUCUCCG
Molecule: transfer RNA, 87 nt
Filed under: Pycnococcus provasolii
Lineage: Eukaryota; Viridiplantae; Chlorophyta; Pseudoscourfieldiophyceae; Pseudoscourfieldiales; Pycnococcaceae
Also listed under: 1 other name
Description: tRNA-Ser
Rfam family: tRNA
About the family: Transfer RNA (tRNA) molecules are approximately 80 nucleotides in length.
Source: RNAcentral